Molecule: ribosomal RNA, 329 nt
Filed under: uncultured eukaryote
Lineage: Eukaryota
Description: partial 18S ribosomal RNA
Rfam family: Eukaryotic small subunit ribosomal RNA
Source: RNAcentral
CCCUUAGAUGUUCUGGGCUGCACGCGCGCUACACUGACACACUCAGCGAGUCACCUGAUCUGAGAAGACCGGGCAAUCAUGUGAGCGUGUGUCGUGAUGGGGAUAGAAUAUUGUAAUUAUUACUCUUCAACGAGGAAUUCCUAGUAAGCGCGAGUCAGCAGCUCGCGCUGAUUACGUCCCUGCCCUUUGUACACACCGCCCGUCGCUACUACCGAUUGAAUGGUUUAGUGAGAUCUUCGGAUUGGCGCCACUGCGGCUCAGCAAUGGGCUCGGUGGAUGCCGAAAAGUUGAUCAAACUUGAUCAUUUAGAGGAAGUAAAAGUCGUAACA